Long non-coding RNA from Patiria miniata (bat star), 404 nucleotides. RefSeq lists it as uncharacterized. The transcript has 3 exons. NCBI's taxonomy places the organism in Eukaryota, Metazoa, Echinodermata, Asteroidea, Valvatida, Asterinidae. The record is from RefSeq and is a predicted model, not a curated record.
CCUGUUAAGGAAGGACAGAAUUAUCAGCUCAAAACUGUUGACAUCACUGAUCAGAAACAAAGAACAACUGUCCAAGUGAAUCUUUGGGGGAGUUCAUCCCAAAGUCAUGUUCCACCUGUUGGCUCACCAGUUCUACUGGAGAAUGUUGAAAUUUCUUCAUAUAAACAAGACACUGUCCUCAAUGCCACACAAGAAACAACCUUUGUGACAAGAGAAGAGCCAAGUUCACAACAGACGGUGGCAGUCAAUGCAUUCUCUGAAGAACAGAAUGGCGACAUUACGAUCUUCACUGAUGACAACACAGAGUAUGUAACAGCUCCAGAUAUUCUCAACGAUGCCCUCCAUAUUACCGAAGUUACUGAGGCACACCCUCUACUCCCCAUCGUUCUAGACAUAGAGUUUCA